RNAcentral lists this ribosomal RNA (458 nucleotides) under uncultured Pseudomonas sp. Its description in RNAcentral is "bacterial SSU rRNA". It matches the Rfam family "Bacterial small subunit ribosomal RNA", at positions 30 to 481 of the family's 1533-position model. The record is from RNAcentral. Lineage: Bacteria; Pseudomonadati; Pseudomonadota; Gammaproteobacteria; Pseudomonadales; Pseudomonadaceae.
AUUGAACGCUGGCGGCAGGCCUAACACAUGCAAGUCGAGCGGCAGCACGGGUACUUGUACCUGGUGGCGAGCGGCGGACGGGUGAGUAAUGCCUAGGAAUCUGCCUGGUAGUGGGGGGUAACGCUCGGAAACGGACGCUAAUACCGCAUACGUCCUACGGGAGAAAGCAGGGGACCUUCGGGCCUUGCGCUAUCAGAUGAGCCUAGGUCGGAUUAGCUAGUUGGUGAGGUAAUGGCUCACCAAGGCGACGAUCCGUAACUGGUCUGAGAGGAUGAUCAGUCACACUGGAACUGGGACACGGUCCAGACUCCUACGGGAGGCAGCAGUGGGGAAUAUUGGACAAUGGGCGAAAGCCUGAUCCAGCCAUGCCGCGUGUGUGAAGAAGGUCUUCGGAUUGUAAAGCACUUUAAGUUGGGAGGAAGGGCAGUUACCUAAUACGUAUCUGUUUGACGUACCGA